AAAAAGAGUGCGUAACAGCUCACUAGUCGAGUGAUCCCGCGUGGAUAAUAAUCGGGCAUAAGUCCGGUACCGAAGCCAUGGAAUCACGCCUAGGGCGUGAUUGGUAGGGGAGCAUUCCGUACAGCGGCGAAGGUCGGUGGCGAUGCCGGCUGGAGCGUACGGAAAAGCAAAUGUAGGUAUAAGUAACGAUAAUGGAGGCGAGAAACCUCCACGCCGAAAGACCAAGGUUUCCUGAUCAACGCUAAUCGGAUCAGGGUAAGUCGGGACCUAAGGGGCAGCCGCGAGGCGGACCCGAUGGAAGAAACGGUAAAGAUUCCGUUACUGUCGCCGGGAGUGAAGCGGGGACGGAGGAGUGACACCGCCGCGGACUGACGGAAUAGUCCGUUGAAGAGUGUAGGUAUUCGGAGGCCAGGCAAAUCCGGUCUCCGAGCUGAACUUGACAGUACUGCGAGCCUUCGGGCAAGCAGACAGCGCGGGUAAUCAGACUCCCAAGAAAAUCCGCUAAACAUAUGUCGGCGACACCCGUACCGAAACGGACACACGUGGUCGGGUAGAACAUACUAAGGCGCUCGAGAGAUUCACCGUUAAGGAACUAGGCAAAUUGACCUCGUAACUUCGGGAUAAGGGGUCCCACAGCGAUGUGGGCGCAGAGAAUAGGUCCAGGCAACUGUUUAACAAAAACACAGGGCUGUGCGAAAUUUAAAGAUGAAGUAUACAGCCUGACACCUGCCCGGUGCCGGAAGGUUAAGAGGAGAAGUCAUCGCAAGAGAAGCUUUGAAUUGAAGCCCCGGUAAGCGGCGGCCGUAACAAUAACGGUCCUAAGGUAGCGAAAUUCCUUGUCGGGUAAGUUCCGACCUGCACGAAUGGUGUAAUGAUCUGGACACUGUCUCAACGGUGAGCUCGGUGAAAUUGUAGUAUCGGUGAAGAUACCGAUUACCCGCAACGGGACGAAAAGACCCCGUGAACCUUUACUGCAGCUUAGCAUUGGGACCGGGUGCGUGAUGUGUAGGAUAGUCCGGAGACAGCGAAGCGGGGGCGCCAGCCCUCGCGGAGUCGACGUUGAAAUACGGACCUUUGCGCAUCUGGUCUCUAACUCGCGGAAAGCGAGGACACUGCUUGGUGGGUAGUUUGACCGGGGUGGUCGCCUCCAAAAGAGUAACGGAGGCUUCUAAAGGUGCCCUCAGACCGAUUGGUAACCGGUCGCAGAGUGUAUGGCAUAAGGGCGCUUGACUGAGAGGACGACAAUCCGAACAGGUAGGAAACUAGGGCAUAGAGAUCCGGCGGUACCGCAUGGAAGGGCCGUCGCUCAAAGGAUAAAAGGUACUCCGGGGAUAACAGGCUGAUCCCUCCCAAGAGCUCAUAUCGACGGAGUGGUUUGGCACCUCGAUGUCGGCUCGUCACAUCCCGGGGCUGGGGAAGGUCCCAAGGGUUAGGCUGUUCGCCUAUUAAAGUGGCACGCGAGCUGGGUUCAGAACGUCGUGAGACAGUUCGGUCUCUAUCUGUUGUGGGCGCGGGAGAUUUGCGGGGAUCCGACACUAGUACGAGAGGACCGUGUUGGACCGACCUCCGGUGAGCCGGUUGUACUGCCAGGUGCACGGCCGGGUAGCCGCGUCGGGGACGGAUAAGUGCCGAAAGCAUCUAAGCACGAAGCCAACCUCAAGAUAAGAUCUCCAUACAGGGCCGUCGAAGACGACGACGUCGAUAGGCUGCAGGUGUAAAGUCAGUGAUGGCAAAGCCGAGCAGUACUAAUUGCCCU
RNAcentral lists this ribosomal RNA (1756 nucleotides) under metagenome. RNAcentral's name for it is "bacterial LSU rRNA". It matches the Rfam family "Bacterial large subunit ribosomal RNA", at positions 1123 to 2911 of the family's 2925-position model. The record is from RNAcentral.